This 2787-nucleotide ribosomal RNA is filed under the name Escherichia coli. Its description in RNAcentral is "bacterial LSU rRNA". It matches the Rfam family "Bacterial large subunit ribosomal RNA". Lineage: Bacteria; Pseudomonadati; Pseudomonadota; Gammaproteobacteria; Enterobacterales; Enterobacteriaceae. The record is from RNAcentral.
AGCGUACACGGUGGAUGCCCUGGCAGUCAGAGGCGAUGAAGGACGUGCUAAUCUGCGAUAAGCGUCGGUAAGGUGAUAUGAACCGUUAUAACCGGCGAUUUCCGAAUGGGGAAACCCAGUGUGUUUCGACACACUAUCAUUAACUGAAUCCAUAGGUUAAUGAGGCGAACCGGGGGAACUGAAACAUCUAAGUACCCCGAGGAAAAGAAAUCAACCGAGAUUCCCCCAGUAGCGGCGAGCGAACGGGGAGGAGCCCAGAGCCUGAAUCAGUGUGUGUGUUAGUGGAAGCGUCUGGAAAGGCGCGCGAUACAGGGUGACAGCCCCGUACACAAAAAUGCACAUACUGUGAGCUCGAUGAGUAGGGCGGGACACGUGGUAUCCUGUCUGAAUAUGGGGGGACCAUCCUCCAAGGCUAAAUACUCCUGACUGACCGAUAGUGAACCAGUACCGUGAGGGAAAGGCGAAAAGAACCCCGGCGAGGGGAGUGAAAAAGAACCUGAAACCGUGUACGUACAAGCAGUGGGAGCCUCUUUUAUGGGGUGACUGCGUACCUUUUGUAUAAUGGGUCAGCGACUUAUAUUCUGUAGCAAGGUUAACCGAAUAGGGGAGCCGAAGGGAAACCGAGUCUUAACUGGGCGUUAAGUUGCAGGGUAUAGACCCGAAACCCGGUGAUCUAGCCAUGGGCAGGUUGAAGGUUGGGUAACACUAACUGGAGGACCGAACCGACUAAUGUUGAAAAAUUAGCGGAUGACUUGUGGCUGGGGGUGAAAGGCCAAUCAAACCGGGAGAUAGCUGGUUCUCCCCGAAAGCUAUUUAGGUAGCGCCUCGUGAAUUCAUCUCCGGGGGUAGAGCACUGUUUCGGCAAGGGGGUCAUCCCGACUUACCAACCCGAUGCAAACUGCGAAUACCGGAGAAUGUUAUCACGGGAGACACACGGCGGGUGCUAACGUCCGUCGUGAAGAGGGAAACAACCCAGACCGCCAGCUAAGGUCCCAAAGUCAUGGUUAAGUGGGAAACGAUGUGGGAAGGCCCAGACAGCCAGGAUGUUGGCUUAGAAGCAGCCAUCAUUUAAAGAAAGCGUAAUAGCUCACUGGUCGAGUCGGCCUGCGCGGAAGAUGUAACGGGGCUAAACCAUGCACCGAAGCUGCGGCAGCGACGCUUAUGCGUUGUUGGGUAGGGGAGCGUUCUGUAAGCCUGUGAAGGUGUGCUGUGAGGCAUGCUGGAGGUAUCAGAAGUGCGAAUGCUGACAUAAGUAACGAUAAAGCGGGUGAAAAGCCCGCUCGCCGGAAGACCAAGGGUUCCUGUCCAACGUUAAUCGGGGCAGGGUGAGUCGACCCCUAAGGCGAGGCCGAAAGGCGUAGUCGAUGGGAAACAGGUUAAUAUUCCUGUACUUGGUGUUACUGCGAAGGGGGGACGGAGAAGGCUAUGUUGGCCGGGCGACGGUUGUCCCGGUUUAAGCGUGUAGGCUGGUUUUCCAGGCAAAUCCGGAAAAUCAAGGCUGAGGCGUGAUGACGAGGCACUACGGUGCUGAAGCAACAAAUGCCCUGCUUCCAGGAAAAGCCUCUAAGCAUCAGGUAACAUCAAAUCGUACCCCAAACCGACACAGGUGGUCAGGUAGAGAAUACCAAGGCGCUUGAGAGAACUCGGGUGAAGGAACUAGGCAAAAUGGUGCCGUAACUUCGGGAGAAGGCACGCUGAUAUGUAGGUGAAGUCCCUUGCGGAUGGAGCUGAAAUCAGUCGAAGAUACCAGCUGGCUGCAACUGUUUAUUAAAAACACAGCACUGUGCAAACACGAAAGUGGACGUAUACGGUGUGACGCCUGCCCGGUGCCGGAAGGUUAAUUGAUGGGGUCAGCGCAAGCGAAGCUCUUGAUCGAAGCCCCGGUAAACGGCGGCCGUAACUAUAACGGUCCUAAGGUAGCGAAAUUCCUUGUCGGGUAAGUUCCGACCUGCACGAAUGGCGUAAUGAUGGCCAGGCUGUCUCCACCCGAGACUCAGUGAAAUUGAACUCGCUGUGAAGAUGCAGUGUACCCGCGGCAAGACGGAAAGACCCCGUGAACCUUUACUAUAGCUUGACACUGAACAUUGAGCCUUGAUGUGUAGGAUAGGUGGGAGGCUUAGAAGUGUGGACGCCAGUCUGCAUGGAGCCGACCUUGAAAUACCACCCUUUAAUGUUUGAUGUUCUAACGUUGACCCCUAAUCGGGGUUGCGGACAGUGUCUGGUGGGUAGUUUGACUGGGGCGGUCUCCUCCUAAAGAGUAACGGAGGAGCACGAAGGUUGGCUAAUCCUGGUCGGACAUCAGGAGGUUAGUGCAAUGGCAUAAGCCAGCUUGACUGCGAGCGUGACGGCGCGAGCAGGUGCGAAAGCAGGUCAUAGUGAUCCGGUGGUUCUGAAUGGAAGGGCCAUCGCUCAACGGAUAAAAGGUACUCCGGGGAUAACAGGCUGAUACCGCCCAAGAGUUCAUAUCGACGGCGGUGUUUGGCACCUCGAUGUCGGCUCAUCACAUCCUGGGGCUGAAGUAGGUCCCAAGGGUAUGGCUGUUCGCCAUUUAAAGUGGUACGCGAGCUGGGUUUAGAACGUCGUGAGACAGUUCGGUCCCUAUCUGCCGUGGGCGCUGGAGAACUGAGGGGGGCUGCUCCUAGUACGAGAGGACCGGAGUGGACGCAUCACUGGUGUUCGGGUUGUCAUGCCAAUGGCACUGCCCGGUAGCUAAAUGCGGAAGAGAUAAGUGCUGAAAGCAUCUAAGCACGAAACUUGCCCCGAGAUGAGUUCUCCCUGACUCCUUGA